GAUGAAGAACGUAGCGAAAUGCGAUAAGUAAUGUGAAUUGCAGAAUUCAGUGAAUCAUCGAGUCUUUGAACGCACAUUGCGCCCCCUGGUAUUCCGGGGGGCAUGCCUGUCCGAGCGUCAUUGCUGCCCUCAAGCACGGCUUGUGUGUUGGGCCGUCGUCCCCCUCCUAGGGGACGGGCCCGAAAGGCAGCGGCGGCACCGCGUCCGGUCCUCGAGCGUAUGGGGCUUCGUCACCCGCUCCGUAGGCCCGGCCGGCGCUUGCCGACGACCAUCAAUCUCUUUCUCCAGGUUGACCUCGGAUCAGGUAGGGAUACCCGCUGAACUUAAGCAUAUCAAUAAGCGGAGGG
RNAcentral lists this unclassified non-coding RNA (347 nucleotides) under soil metagenome. RNAcentral describes it as "partial contains 5.8S ribosomal RNA, internal transcribed spacer 2, and large subunit ribosomal RNA". The stretch from base 1 to 120 matches the Rfam family "5.8S ribosomal RNA", at positions 35 to 154 of the family's 154-position model. The record is from RNAcentral.